Molecule: transfer RNA, 73 nt
Filed under: Trichonephila clavata
Lineage: Eukaryota; Metazoa; Arthropoda; Arachnida; Araneae; Nephilidae
Rfam family: tRNA
About the family: Transfer RNA (tRNA) molecules are approximately 80 nucleotides in length. Their secondary structure includes four short double-helical elements and three loops (D, anti-codon, and T loops).
Source: Rfam by way of RNAcentral
GUUUCUGUAGCGCAAUGGAUAGCGCGUUUGACUUUUAAUCUGACGGUCAUGGGUUCGAAUCCCACCUGGGAUA